UUUUUUUUGUGGUUUAAUUUUGGAAUUUUUUUUUUUUUUUGAUGCUGUGAUUUGUGUUUCUGGUGUUGAUUUCGAGUUUUCUAGAUUAGUGAUUGGGACUUGUGAUUUGUUGAGAUUUCAUUUGCUUUUGGUUUGGAUGGCGAGAAAGCAGAGGGAGAGGAGUAUUUUGAGUUGGUUAGUGGACUGGAGCGUUUUGUUUUCUCGGGAAAAGUUUAGAGAUUCGGAAUUUGAGUUUGUUUCUCUAGUUUCCGGCAUUUUCUCGGCAACCAAACACUGGAUUGGUUUGAUUUUUGUUCAUGUCUUUUUUCUUCUUCUUUUUUUUGAGUGAAUCUUUCUACGGUCUGCGUGAUGAUGACAUCAUUGUUUUUGGAUUUAUGUGCCGAAUUUCAUUUUUGGUCACAAUUAUACGAGGUAUUGGAGGCCAUGAAUAUUGUAGGUGUAUCUUUUUAGUAGUUGCGCUGCUUUGAUUUCUGUGUUUCUUUUUUCUUUUUCUCUUUCUUUUUACUUGGAAUUACUUUUGUGUAUCAGUGAUAUUGCUAAUAUCUAGAAUUCUUCAAUUCUACUGGAAGAUCAACAAUAUGCAUCAUGAUAUUGCUAAUAUUAUUCCAUUAAUCUUAAAAAUUUGUUGCCAUAUCCAUCAUAAUGGGAAACAAUUCAAGGAUAGCAUUGUGGAUUUCUGGGAAGGAUUAGCAUCCCUCUUCAUAUGAUUGAAUAGACAUGUCUGUCAGUUGCUUUGCUUAGUAUGGGCAGUGGCUAGGGGAUUAUAGAUUUCAGAGUAAGGAAGCAUGCACAAACAAACUGAAAGAAAAAACCAACCAGAAUCUAAAGCAGAUAGCAACAAUCCAUACUCGAUCUGCUCUCAACCUUGGUGGCGUGGGCUUGGGAAUGAUGUCAUCUCUCCAGAUGUUUUAGGUGAAAGUUCACCAAAUUCAGCUUCAGCAGAACACCCAAAUGGUGGUGUAGGAACUAUAGCCAUCAAGUCGCGAGCCAAAGUUGUGACGGAUAAUGGAAAUGAUCCUGAAAAAGAAAUGAAAAUUACUUUAGCCUCGCAAUCAGAUGGAAGCCGUGGACAAGAACAAAAGCAUCCUCAGCAAGCUGUAUCAAUGAUGCCUAUGACUAUGGCUGAAUACCACCUUGCACCACCUUCCCAGCUGGAACUUGUUGGCCACUCAAUCAGCAACACGGAUGGAGUUACAAGUAAAACACUUUUGCAGGCGUGUGCAUCAUAUCCAUAUUCUGAACCUUAUUACACGGGAGUCAUUCCUGCUUAUGGACCUCAGGGUUUGGUACAAUCUCAAUUUCUUGGUGUGAAUGUGGCUCGAAUGGCUUUGCCUAUUGAAAUGGCAGAGGAACCUGUUUAUGUGAAUGCAAAACAGUAUCAUGGGAUUCUGAGGCGAAGACAAUCACGGGCGAAGGCCGAGCUGGAAAAAAAACUGAUAAAAGUUAGGAAGCCAUAUCUUCAUGAAUCAAGGCACCAGCAUGCUAUGAGAAGGGCAAGAGGAUGUGGAGGCCGUUUUCUCAACACAAAGAAGCUUGAUUCUAAUGCAUCGUAUGACAUGCCUGACAAGGGCUCUGAUCCAGAUGUAAACCUUUCAACACGACUCAUCAGCUCAUCAGUCUCUGAAUCUCUGCCCUCCAAUUCUUCCCGAAAUGAGGAUUCCCCCACCAGUCAUCUAGAUGCAAGAGGUCCCUCUGUGCAGGAAUUGCACAAUAGGCAAACAGCCUCCCAUGGAAAUGGCAACAGCUGUUAUCCACACAACCAGGGAUUUCAGUUGUCGACAUACCAUUCCCUUAAAGAUGAUCGCGUGGAAGAAGGAGACCACGCAGGGCGGCAGCAUGAGAGAAUUCUGGUGAAUAGGGCCCCCCACAGGGCCCUAACCAUCAAAUGAAACCUUCGUUGCUAAGGGAUGAAGGGUCUUUCCAGCAUUGCUCUGAUCUAUUGCAGAUGGCAUCAGCUUCCAUGUGGGCUUGAGGGUGUCACAGAAGUGGGCUAGUUCAAAUACAAAAAUAAGUGAGGAGCAUCCUUCUGUGACUUCUACUCAAGUAUCUGGUAACGGAUCCGGAUGGCAGCAUUGCAGGGCAAAGCUGGAAGCAUUACCCCAACCAAUCAGAGGGGGGAGAGACCCCUGGCCUAUGUGUUGUAUUUUCAGGCAAAUCAUUCUUGGCUUGUAUUUUUCAUAUUCCUGUGUUUGUUGGACCGGAGGAGAAAGACAGAGAGAUAGAGAAUCGUCUAAUUUCACUCAUUUGCCUUUUUCUAUUGUACAAAUUGAUGAAUGAAUUAUAGUCCUUGUGUGGGAGGAUGGUGACGAGAGAAACCUUCAAAACCUUUUCUCAUUUUCAAAUAUGGAAUUUUGGGAUUCCACCAUGACUAAUAACUGUGUAAUUUCACCGCCCUCGUAUGUGAAAACCUCCUUUUUGUUUUCAUGA
Molecule: RNA transcript, 2427 nt
Organism: Vitis riparia (riverbank grape)
Lineage: Eukaryota; Viridiplantae; Streptophyta; Magnoliopsida; Vitales; Vitaceae
Gene name: nuclear transcription factor Y subunit A-1-like
Exons: 7
Source: RefSeq, a predicted model, not a curated record